CCUACAGGAGGCAGCAGUGGGGGAUAUUGCACAAUGGGGGGAACCCUGAUGCAGCGACGCCGCGUGAGCGAAGAAGUAUUUCGGUAUGUAAAGCUCUAUCAGCAGGGAAGAAAAAAAUGACGGUACCUGAGUAAGAAGCACCGGCUAAAUACGUGCCAGCAGCCGCGGUAAUACGUAUGGUGCAAGCGUUAUCCGGAUUUACUGGGUGUAAAGGGGGCGCAGACGGCGAUGCAAGCCAGGAGUGAAAGCCCGAGGCCCAACCCCGGGACUGCUCUUGGAACUGCGUGGCUAGAGUGCAGGAGGGG
Molecule: ribosomal RNA, 305 nt
Filed under: uncultured bacterium
Lineage: Bacteria
Description: partial 16S ribosomal RNA
Rfam family: Bacterial small subunit ribosomal RNA
Source: RNAcentral